RNAcentral lists this ribosomal RNA (476 nucleotides) under uncultured bacterium. RNAcentral describes it as "partial 16S ribosomal RNA". It matches the Rfam family "Bacterial small subunit ribosomal RNA", at positions 28 to 523 of the family's 1533-position model. The record is from RNAcentral.
GAUGAACGCUGGCGGCGUGCUUAACACAUGCAAGUCGAGCGAGUGAGUUCUUCGGAACGAUCUAGCGGCGGACGGGUGAGUAACACGGGGGCAACCUGCCUCAUAGAGGGGAAUAGCCUCCCGAAAGGGAGAUUAAUACCGCAUAAAAUUAUCGAGUGGCAUCACAUGAUAAUCAAAGGAGUAAUCCGCUAUGAGAUGGGCCCGCGGCGCAUUAGCUAGUUGGUGAGGUAACGGCUCACCAAGGCGACGAUGCGUAGCCGACCUGAGAGGGUGAUCGGCCACAUUGGGACUGAGACACGGCCCAGACUCCUACGGGAGGCAGCAGUGGGGAAUAUUGCACAAUGGGGGAAACCCUGAUGCAGCAAUGCCGCGUGAGUGAUGACGGCCUUCGGGUUGUAAAGCUCUGUCUUCGGGGACGAUAAUGACGGUACCCGAGGAGGAAGCCACGGCUAACUACGUGCCAGCCGCCGCGGUAA